UGAGUUCUCCCUGACCCUUUAAGGGUCCUGAAGGAACGUUGAAGACGACGACGUUGAUAGGCCGGGUGGGUAAGCGCAGCGAUGCGUUGAGCUAACCGGUACUAAUGAACCGUGAGGCUAAACCUUACAACGCCCAAGGUGUUUGG
RNAcentral lists this ribosomal RNA (146 nucleotides) under Escherichia coli O157:H7 str. K5418. RNAcentral describes it as "partial 23S ribosomal RNA". The stretch from base 1 to 126 matches the Rfam family "Bacterial large subunit ribosomal RNA", at positions 2805 to 2925 of the family's 2925-position model. Lineage: Bacteria; Pseudomonadati; Pseudomonadota; Gammaproteobacteria; Enterobacterales; Enterobacteriaceae. The record is from RNAcentral.